UGCAGUCGAGCGAACAGAUGAGAAGCUUGCUUCUCUGAUGUUAGCGGCGGACGGGUGAGUAACACGUGGGUAACCUACCUAUAAGACUGGGAUAACUCCGGGAAACCGGGGCUAAUACCUGAUAAUAUUUUGAACCGCAUGGUUCGAUAGUGAAAGGCGGCUUCGGCUGUCACUUAUAGAUGGACCCGCGCCGUAUUAGCUAGUUGGUAAGGUAAUGGCUUACCAAGGCGACGAUACGUAGCCGACCUGAGAGGGUGAUCGGCCACACUGGAACUGAGACACGGUCCAGACUCCUACGGGAGGCAGCAGUAGGGAAUCUUCCGCAAUGGGCGAAAGCCUGACGGAGCAACGCCGCGUGAGUGAUGAAGGUUUUCGGAUCGUAAAACUCUGUUGUUAGGGAAGAACAAAUUUGUUAGUAACUGAACAAGUCUUGACGGUACCUAACCAGAAAGCCACGGCUAACUACGUGCCAGCAGCCGCGGUAAUACGUAGGUGGCAAGCGUUAUCCGGAAUUAUUGGGCGUAAAGCGCGCGUAGGCGGUUUCUUAAGUCUGAUGUGAAAGCCCACGGCUCAACCGUGGAGGGUCAUUGGAAACUGGGGAACUUGAGUGCAGAAGAGGAGAGUGGAAUUCCAUGUGUAGCGGUGAAAUGCGCAGAGAUAUGGAGGAACACCAGUGGCGAAGGCGGCUCUCUGGUCUGUAACUGACGCUGAUGUGCGAAAGCGUGGGGAUCAAACAGGAUUAGAUACCCUGGUAGUCCACGCCGUAACGAUGAGUGCUAAGUG
This 783-nucleotide ribosomal RNA is filed under the name Staphylococcus sp. V20-PCA-E14. RNAcentral's name for it is "bacterial SSU rRNA". It matches the Rfam family "Bacterial small subunit ribosomal RNA", at positions 56 to 822 of the family's 1533-position model. Lineage: Bacteria; Bacillati; Bacillota; Bacilli; Caryophanales; Staphylococcaceae. The record is from RNAcentral.